Oncorhynchus tshawytscha (Chinook salmon) is the source of this 412-nucleotide long non-coding RNA. The record is from Ensembl. Lineage: Eukaryota; Metazoa; Chordata; Actinopteri; Salmoniformes; Salmonidae.
GUAAUAAUGUGUUGUAUUGUAGAUAUGUAGUGGUGUAAUAAUGUAUUGUAGAUAUGUAGGGGUGUAAUAAUGUAUUGUAGAUAUGUAGUGGUAGAGUAGUGGUGUAAUAAUGUGUUGUAUUGUAGAUAUGUAGUGGUGUAAUAAUGUGUUGUAUUGUAGAUAUGUAGUGGUGUAAUGAUGUGUUGUAUUGUAGAUAUGUAGUGGUAGAGUAGUGGUGUAAUAAUGUGUUGUAUUGUAGAUAUGUAGUGGUGUAAUAAUAUGUUGUAUUGUAGAUAUGUAGUGGUGUAAUAAUGUGUUGUAUUGUAGAUAUGUAGUGGUAGAGUAGUGGUGUAAUAAUGUGUUGUAUUGUAGAUAUGUAGUGGUAGAGACGUGGUGUAAUAAUGUGUUGUACUGUAGAUAUGUAGUGGUGUAA